CAAACCAAAAAGGUAGUUUGGAUGAUCUACUAUUGUAUUUUUUCAGCAAGCAGUUUGAUCUUUAGUUCUAGAUUUACAGGACUCCCAAGUUGUAAUGUUUGUCUAAAACACGUGUACACAGGGACAAAGUUAAAGUUCAAACCAAAGCACGUGUAGUCCUUUAUAUUCUCCGAGUUGAAUCCUUAGUCCAUAACCAUCUGCGCCACCAUCAAAAGUAGUGUAUGUACAAGUCAUCAAAAGACAUAUGUACAGGCAGGCCACAUAGUCAAUACACUGUAAAUAUUAAGAAAGACAAGCAGUCAUUGUUAAAUAUGAAAGAGAAAAAUAUAAUUUUCUUUUUAGCUUCUUAUUAUGACCAAAGAUAGGUUUUAAAGCCAAUUUUAUCAUGGGGAAUUAUGAAGGAAAACAGAAUUCAGGAAAAGGAAAAUAAUACAAAUUUUCAGAAUACACUUUGUAUCCUUUGGAUUGUUAUGGUAGAUGGAUGUAAAUAACACCGACCAAAUAAUCCAGUAUUAGGAGCUUUAGAUAAUUUACUUUCUAUAUGACACUAUUUAAUUCCUCUGAAUCUUAUUGUGCAAAGUGUGACGAACUUCAAAGUUUCAUUUAUUUUAGUCCUCACCUGAAGAGCUAAUAUGUACAAAAGAUCAAAAGGUUUAAGUCUUCACCUGUAGUAAAGAAACAUCUAAAAAGAUAGAGAAAACAAGGGAACAAAGUUUGUAGAAAGAGGGAAUCGAAGGAAAGUUCAGUCCCCCCGAAGAAGAUGGUCAUGGACAUGGUAAGCACGUUGAACAGUCAAAACGUAAAGUGAAUUGGAUGAAGAAAACAAAACAUCAUGAAUUUUUAUUCUUUAAUCAUCAAAGGUUCAAAUAUGCAUGGGAUAACGAGGACACUACAGUUAUGAGGACAGAACUGCCUAGUGCAACACUUUUGUCUGCUCUAGUGCAGAGUAUGGUGAACGUUAUCUUCUUCCAAGGAGAUAUAUGGGAAAUAUGGGAAGCACAGGCACUUAAAUGGGCUAUGGAAUACACAACUUUUAACAUUAUGUGUAUUUAAAAAUCAACAACAUCAUGUUCCAGAAAAGUAUUAAAAACUAUUUGAUUAUCUAACGAUUUUGGAGUAAUAUAUCAGCUUAGAGUUUCUAGUGACAAAGAUAAAUCUAACAACUCAAUAACUUCCAACACAGUACCUAUAUAGACUAUAGUUCUAUUUGUUGUAGUAGAUUAAAUGUCUCUUAAUAUAGAGAUUUUCAAAUUUUAUGCUAUAUACAAAGAAGCGACAAAAUGAAACUUUAGUGCAACAACUUAUCCGAUAGUACUUCCUACAACCUCAAUUAAUUUAUAAUCUUUUGUAUCACUUUAAAGAAUAAUAGGUAUCUUUACAACAAAUCCAUAAUUGCAUAUACAACUUCUUUAUUCCACCAAAUGCCUUACUAUGAAGCAUGGGGAAAAGGAAUUAAUAUCUAGCCAUGACAAAAUUUGGUGUGUUGAGUCUUUCUGAUAUGCAAUUGUGAUGACCUGGCUAGUCGUCUCAUGAGUUACCGCUCCAUUUUCUCUAUUUCUACUUCUUUACGCUUCGUUAUCCAUGUUUUAUGUGAUCGGGUUGAUUAGUUUGAGUCCAGAAAGGAUUUGGUAAGAAAUGAGACACUUAGUCUCUUUUAAGAAGGUUUAAGUUGGAAAAGUCAAUCGGAUAUUGACUUAUGUGUUAGAGGGCUCGGAUGUGAGUUCCGAUGGUGCGGUUAGCUUCGGGAGGUGAUUUACGACUUAGGAAUGUGAUCGGAAUUGAUUUUAGAGGUCCGGAGUAGGAUUAGGCUUGAAUAUGCGAAGUUAGUAUUUUGGCAAUUUUCGGUUGAUAGGUGAGAUUUUGAUCCGGGGGUCGGAAUGGAAUUUUGAGAGUUGCUGUAGCUUCGUUAUGUCAUUUGUGAUGUGUAUGCAAAAUUUCAGGUCAUUCGGACGUGGUUUGGUUGGGUUUUUGAUCGAAAGCGUAUUUCGGAAGUUUUUAGAAAACUUUAGGCUUGAAUUCGAUGUGAAUUGACGGAUUGGGUGUUGUUUGAGGUGUUUUGAUGAUUGGAACAAGUUUGAAUGAGGUUUUAGGAUGCGUUGGUGCUUUUGGUUGAGGUCCCGGGGGCCUUAGGUGAGUUUCGGGUGGUCAAUCGGGCUAGUUUUGGUGUUGGAUAAUUGCAGAAAUUGUUCAGCUGUUGCAGACGAAAUUGGCCUUCGCGAUCGCGUGGGGCCAGUCGCGAUCGUGUAGAAGGAUUUUGGGAUGGUCUGUGUUUGGUCUUCGCAUUCACGUUUGCGAACGGUGGGAGGCUGGUGCUUCGCGUUCGCGCGAGGGUAGGUCACGUUCGCAUAGUGGAGUUGGCGCGUGAAGGGUCCAGGAGUUGUUGCUCUUCGCAUUCGCGUAAGUGGGACCGUGUUCGCGUAGGUUGAGGAGUCUAAAGCAUCGCGUUUGCGAGCCCUUGGUUGCGAUCGCGUAGAAGGAAAUCUGGUCAAGUUAAAUUUGUGCAUCGCGAACAGGAGAGUUUGAACGCGUUCGCGAAGAAGUAAAGUCAGAACUGGGCAGAAAGUUUAUAAGUUGUUUCAUCCGCGAUUUUGAGCCAUUUUUCCUCCAUAGUGAGCAUUUUGAGAGCUUUUUGAAGGUGAUUAAAGAGGGAUUCAAGGAGAAUUGAUUGGAGGUAAGAUUUAUGAACCUAAAACGUGAUUCUAUUGUGAAAUUAACCUAGAAAUUCAUGGAACCUGAGCUAAAAAUGGAAGAACUAGGGCUUGGGAUUUUGAACUUUUGAAUUGAGAUUUGAAGGACCAUUUGAGGUCGGAUUUGAGAAUUUUUGACAUGUAUGAACUCGUGGAAGGAUAAGGAACCCGUUGAUGUAAAAAUUUCUGAGUUUUGAGAAGUGGGCUCAGGGCUCGGGUUUUUGCAAAUUUCGGGAUUUUUGAUAUUUUUCGAUUGUUUUUGUUUGGGCUUUGUUCCCUUAGAAUAUUGUGACGUAUUUGUUCUGAUUUUGGUCAGAUUCGACGCGCGAGGUGGCCGAUUUGAGAGGCAAAGGCGUCGCGAGCUAGAGAUUUAGCCGGUUUGAGAUGAGUAAUGAAUGUAAAUGAUGUCUUGAGGGUUUGAAAUCCCGGAUUUGCACAUCGUAGUGCUAUAUUGAGGUGAGAAAAGCGCUUGACGAUGAACAUGGGGUCGUUUACUAUUGGGGAUUGUGACUUAGUCUGCCCCGAUUGAUGAUUUUACCGCGUAUUUGAUUGAAACUUAUCUGUUAUCAUCAUUAUUUGGACUGAUUGUCAUAUUUGGGCUUCGUGCCAGUUAUUUGAACCCUCUGGAAAUUUUUAUCACUAUUACCUCACUGUUUUGACUUACUCCCUGAACUCAGUCGUACUGUUUUUCCCCUGUUUUACAACUCCGCCACUUUUUACUCGGUUUUGGAACUAAAAUAAUAUUUUAAAUGAUGUUUUGGGUUGAGGCCUACUGAUUUACUAAUGCCCGAGGGGCUUAUGUGAUUUCUGGACUGAGUAAGAGCGAGGGCCAGAUGUGAGGAUACAAUGAUACUGAUAUGAGGCUGAGGGCCUAAGAUACAUAUACAUACGCCACGAGGUGGCUGAUAUUGAUAUGAGGUCGAUGACCUAGAUUUGAUGUCACGAGAUGGCUUGAUAUUGCGCUUUGGCCAUAAGGGGCCCCUCUCGGAGUCUGCACACCCCUAGUGAGCGCGAUUACCCAAUUGUGAUAUGAGAGAGAGAGAGAGAGACCGAGGGGCUGGUACUGUUCCACGUGUUUAUUUCUCUUUAAUUGUCUGUCUCUUACUGCUUAUCUGUUGUAGAAUUAUCUUAUUCCGUUUUUCAUUGGUUUAUCGCUUUUAUACUACUUGUUUAACUGUUGCAUUAUAGAUUACCCUGUGUAUACGUGAUUUCCUACUCUUAGUCAUUAUUUAUGCUUAUUACUCACUGUGUCAGAGUACUCACAUUACUCCCUGCACCUUGCGUGCAGAUCCAGGUGUUCCAGAGGUUGAGUGAGAGCUUUCCAGUCGAUCAACAUUAUCCGGGAGUAUCGAGGUAGCUGCAUGGCGACCGCAGCCUUGAUUUCUCCCUUCCUUCCUAUUGUAUUCCGCAUUCCUAGACUGUUUGUGUAGUAGGCUGUUGAAUUGUGUUAGUUGAUAUUGGAUUUUAUAAAAAAAUGGGUUGUGGUUGAUAGUUGGUCAGGCUUGCCUAGCAAGGUGUUGGGCGUCAUCACGACCGGGGUUGGGGUCGUGACAGUAGUGUUUAGAGAAUGAGAAAAUUCAAAGUAAAGGUGAUGCUUACAUGGAAUUAGUUUGCAAUCUAAAGAGAUUGAUUUUAUAUAAGAACUAAAUGGGAUCACACAAUUUUACAAAUUACCCACAUAACUUAGAAUUAUCUCAAAUUACAUAAAAUACUACUCACUUUUAAUAUAGAGAUCCUGUAAAACAAAUUUUGCUGGACGACAGGUAAUAAACAAUGACAGAUCUAGGAUUUCUAAAGAACGGAUGCACCACUACCAAACAUAUAUUUUUCCUCUAGCUUAUGGUGGAGAAUGAAGGUAUUUAAUAGCAAUAAAGGUAUUAGAAGUUACUGUCAUGCAUGGUCUCUUUGUCAUUCCAACGGAAAGGGUAGAAAAUUAAUUAUGUAAUGGGUUAAAAAUGCAGGUCUUCAAACAGAGGGGUAAAGUCAAAUUGGACAAGAAAUUAUUUAUCUAAGUAUGAUUCUGCAAUCUAAUAAGCAAAACCUUGCAGAAAAUUGAUCUUAAAUCUUGUAAAAAGAAAUUGAGUCGCAUUUGAAAUUCAGUUCUGAGAUCCACGAAAAAUCUUGAUACCAACCAGCUUAUUCAUUAUCAUGUAGUGUGCUUAUUUCUAUUCUGGGCCAGCCACUCAUCACGUAAGAGCUACUGUGACCAGCAAACAUUAGCUCAACUCUAAUUUUAUGUGCAUCUUUUAUGAAACCUCAUAGGGCAGAAAGUAAAAUACCAAAGAGAGGCAGAGAGAAUAGGUCAUUUGAUAUCACGUGCCGAUCAGUAGCCUAACUCACUACAGAGACUAAAACAACCUCAAUGCCAUGUUGAAAGGCUCCCAAAUCCCUCACUCUCUUGCAGACUAAUUUGGAGGGGGCUUCUGUUGCAUUAUCUGCCAGUCUUCUAGAUAGAACUAAUUAACAAUACCUCUUAAUAUGUUUCACUUAAAAUCUUUUCAAUGAUCUUCUAAUCACACAUAAUAAUAGACUCCAACUUAAGCUCAACACAUGAAUAUAUUGAAUCAAGUAUAAUAGUAAAUUCAAUACGAUUGUUGAUGAGUUUCUUGUUAUUUUCUUCACUUUCAAACAGAGGCGGAUCCAGGAUUAGAGACUUAUAGGUUCCUGCCACGGUAAAAUAUUUACCAAUAUUUAGUGAAUUUCUUAAUAUAAAUACAGGGUCUACGUAAGAAUUACUGUAUUCCCGAAAACCCGUAGCUCAUGCACUGCGUCCGCCCCUGCUUUCAAAUACACACGAAGAGAGACAUGCAAUAAGAAUUUGAAAAAUUUCUCAUCUUGCCCUUCCAUAUUAUGCUUUUAGCGGGUUUACGUAACACAAAAGGUUCAUAAAGACAGAGAAACGUAAUAGAGGAGACAAACUUACCAGGUUGAGAUGAGAAAAUCUGGAAGCCCCAAAGCAGAGAGAAACAGAGGAUAUUCCGGGGGGUUUUUGAAGAGUACACCACCAACUUUUUAGCUUCCAUGUUAAUCUUAUUUUUCAAAAUCUGUCCUUGACCGUGACACCGUGU
This 5755-nucleotide long non-coding RNA is filed under the name Nicotiana tabacum (common tobacco). Its description in RNAcentral is "long non-coding RNA (NTAB_LNC009283)". Lineage: Eukaryota; Viridiplantae; Streptophyta; Magnoliopsida; Solanales; Solanaceae. The record is from RNAcentral.